Long non-coding RNA from Mesoplodon densirostris (Blainville's beaked whale), 5473 nucleotides. RefSeq lists it as uncharacterized. The record is from RefSeq and is a predicted model, not a curated record. Lineage: Eukaryota; Metazoa; Chordata; Mammalia; Artiodactyla; Ziphiidae. The transcript has 7 exons.
GCGGUCCCACCCACUGCGCCCAGAACGGAGCCCGCGUUUCCGCAGAGCUGGAGCUCCCGGCUCGGGGUCUCUUCCCUCCGCCUUCACGGAACUGCCCCGGAGCCCGCGGCGAGGGCGGCCUCACUGACGCUGCCGGCUCUGGAGGGGCCCCGGAGGCCGAAGCCGCGACAGUCGUGCGGACGGCGGGCCGGUUGUUUCAACAAGUAACUUAAAGACCAAAUGGAAAAAAAGGAGGUUUGUGCCUGAGAUCAUGUUGAUGUGAAACCAGGGAUGGCCACCUUGUCCCAGGUACAAAACAAAGAAUCGCUUUGCACAAAGCCAGAAGGGCUACACUGGAAGAAUGAUCAGAAAAGAAUAAUACAUAGGUACAAAACAAAGAAUCGCUUUGCACAAAGCCAGAAGGGCUACACUGGAAGAAUGAUCAGAAAAGAAUAAUACAUAGCAGGCCCACCGCUACGCCUCUCACCUGAGAAGUCCAGAAUCGGGAAGACACAGGCUGUAUCAGUUGCACUGCAGACUUAUUCACAAUAGCCAAGAUGGUGAAGCAACCCAAAUGUCCAUCAACAGGUGAAUGGAUAAAGAAGAAGAGGUCCAUGUACACAAUGGAAUAUUCACCAUGGAGAACAAUGAAUUACUGCUCUUUGAGGCACCACAGAUGAGCCUAGAGAUAAUCAUGGAACAUGAGAAACAAAAACGGCUUGGAAAAAUGAUGAAUGUUAGGUAUUUGUAAAGACACGCAAACCCAAAUUACAAAAACCUAUCAGCUCACAGCAGUCAGAAUGGCCAUUAACAAAAUGCUGCAAGCAAUAAAUGCUGAAGCAAUUGUGGAGAAGUGCGUACCCUCCGUUCUAAGGGGGACGUGGUAAGGGCCACUAAUGAAAACACAAUGGAGGUGCUUUGAAAAGGGAAACAUUGCGCUACCAGGCAAUCAGUCAUACCCACUGCUGGACCUGUCACCUGAGAAAAUGAGAAUCAAAACCUCACAGACUGGCAGUUCUGCACUCCAGCAAUACUUACCAUAGCCAACACUUGGAAGCAACGAAAAUGUCCAUCAACAGAGGAGUGUACCAAGAAGCAGUGGUCCAUGUACACAAUGGAAUAUUACUCCAAUAAAAAGUAUAAAUUAAAUUUAAAAACAAACAUAAGUAAGGAGACGUAAGCAUUUGGGGGUUUAUCUGGGCACAUUCCUCUCUAAUUUAUAACCGAGGAACACCAGUGGCAGGAAGGUCUGUUUCCCUAGUACCAGCGUGGGGAACUUAGAAAGGCUGCCACCCUCUGGCUGUUCCCUGCAAAAGCAGCUUUAAAGCCUGUGCUAAUGGUCACUUCAUGUGAACAAGUACUGCAGGGCUGUAAAUGAAACCUGCCCUCAAAAUGUCUUGAGGGAGGUAAUGGCCAAAAAAUUUCAAAAUGUGACACAUACUUUAAGAAAACACUUUGAGGGCCUCCCUGGUGGCGUAGUGGUUGAGAGUCCGCCUGCCGAUGCAGGGGAUACGGGUUCGUGCCCCGGUCUGGGAGGAUCCCAUAUGCCGCGGAGCGGCUGGGCCAAUGAGCCACGGCCUCUGGGCCUGCGCAUCCGGAGCCUGUGCUCCGCAACGGGAGAGGCCACAACAGUGAGAGGCCCGCAUACCGCAAAAAGAAAAAAAAAUAAAAUAAAUAAAAAGAAAACACUUUGAAGAGCUAAGCUGUAAUCACAGUUUGAAAAAUAAGAAGGACAUGCCUUAAAGCUUAAUGUCAAGGGAUUAUGAGACACACGGAAAUUCAACCACAAAGAGGUAUCAGUUCACACCCCUCAGAAUAACCUUCAGCACGAAACCCAUAAUCAAUAACUGCUGGGGCUUCCCUGGUGGCGCAGUGGUUGAGAGUCCACCUGCGAUGCAGGGGACGCGGGUUCGUACUCCGUUCUGGGAAGAUCCCACAUGCCGCGGGUGCCUGUGCUCCGCAACGGGAUAGGCCACAACAGUGAGAGGCCCGUGUACCGCAAAACAAACAAACGAAAAUAAAUGAAUGAAUGAAUGAAUGCAUGUAUGCUGAAGGUGUUGUGGAGAAAUGCAUACCCUCAACUUUCAGUGGGAUGUACCCUGGAAAGAGCCACUAAUGAGAACAGAAUGGAGAUGCCUUUAAAAGGUAAACAUUGAGCUACAAUAUAAACCAGCAGGCCCAUUCCUGGACCUACAACCAAAGAAGACAGAAUUGGAAAGGCACAGGAAGGCAAAUGUGCACUGCACAUAUUACAAUAGCCAAGAUAUGGAAGCAACCAAAAAGUCCAGCAACAGAUGGGUGGACAAAGAAGAACUGCUACAUGUAGAGAUGGAAUAUUAGCUGGGGAAAAAAUGAAACAAUGCCAUUUGCAGCACCAUCGAUGAGUCUAGAAGUAAUCACCCGAGUUGUGGUAAGUGAGAAAGCAAAAGACACAUAUCCUAUCAUAUCACUUAUAGGUGUGAGCUAAAAGUUGAUAACAAUGAAGAUAUUUCCACAGAGAAAGGCAAUUACAGAUUCAUUAAACCAACUUAGGGUCCACCAUAAGGAAAGGUGUGAGGAUUGGAUACAUUACAUUAUUGGGGUUAACAGAGAUAUACAAACGCAUGUGAAAUAUAUAAUCACCAAAGACCUACGGCAUACCAAGAGAAGACUACUCAACAUUGUGUCAUAACCUACAUGGGAAAAGGAUCUGAAGAAGACUAGAUAUAUGUAUAUGUGUAAAACAUCCCCAUCUUGCACACCUAGAACAAAGAAAACAUUGUAAUCAAAUUGGCUGUGAUCAAAAAUAAUAAUUAAGUUAAAAAACGAACAGGAUGGAAUGAGACGUAAUCUUAAAGGGAUUUUCCUGGCACUUUCCAUUCUAAUUUACAACCUACAGCACAACUUCCAUUAUGGCUGUCUUGCCCUAGUAACCAGAUUUGGUAAGGAGAAAUGCUUCUGUCUUCUGGCCGUUCCACACAACAGGAGCUUUGAACCCAGCGCUAGUGGUCACUUAAUUUUCAAAAUAAUUGCAGGCCUGUAAUAGACACCUACCAUCAAAGAAAAAAAUCCUGGGGUCGUAAAUCGACCAGAAAAUUCAAAAGACGUCAACAUUUCAAAAACAGAAUCAAGAGGCAUAUUUUAAGCACAUUUUGUGUUUUCUUGCUUUUUUUUUCUUUAAAAAAGGAAUGGGAAUGCUCAACGUCAGCAAUUAAUAAAGAUUGCAAAUCCAAUCUACAGAAACCUUUACCACACAGCCAUCAGAAUGAUCACCAGGAGGAUAGUGUACAAAGGUAUAAAUGCUGAAAAGGUUUUAGAGAACUGUGUACCCUCUAGCCGCUGCGGGUGGAUAAACUGGUAAGAGACAGUAGGGAGAAGAGAGUGGCGGUGCCUUUAAAGGUAAAAAUUGAGCUGCCAUGUGAUCUGGUAGGUCCUUUCAUGCGCCUACCACCUGAGCAGACCAGAAUGAAAAAGGUACCGGCUGGCAAUCCUGCACUGCAGGAACAUUAACCAUAGCCAAGACUUGGAAGAACCCAAAAUGUCCAUCAACAGAAAAAUGUACAAGGAAGAAGUGGUCCAUGUACACAAUGGAAUAUUAGCCAUGGAAUAGAAUAAAAGUGUGCCGUGUGCACCACCAUAGAAGGACCUAAUAAAGAUCAUCACCAAACUUGAAGUAUGAAAAAAAUGGAAAGACAGACAUCCUAUGACAUCACUUAUAGGUGUUAACUAAAAAUUGAUACCCACGAACUUAUUUCCAAGAGAAGGAAAAGCAUGGAUUAAGAAAAUAAAAGUACGUUUAACCUGAUGGAAAGUUGUAAGGAAUGGAUGAAUUAGGAUAUGGGGGUUAAGAGACAUGUACUAAUACAUAUGAAAUGUUUAAUCACAAAAUACCUAUGGAAUACCAAGAAAGGUCUACUCAACACUCUGUAAUAACCUACACAGGAAGGGCUCCAAAGAUGAGUAGACAGAUACAUUGAUAUAAUGAACCAGAUUCUGUACACCUAGGAGAAACAAAAUAUUUUUUUAUCGAAUUUGCUCUGAUAAUUAAUAAAAACUAAAUUUAAAAACAAUCAAGAAGAAAGGAGAUAUAAGCUCUUGGGGGUUUUCCCUGGCACAUUCUACUCUAAUUUGCAGCCUACUAACACGAUUUCCUGGAAGGCUGUACCGCCCAAAAACGGAGUGGGAAAUGUACAAAUGCUGCCGGUUUGUGGACGUUUCCCACAAGCGCGGCUUUAAGCCCACAGCUAAUGGUCACUUAACAUUCACAAGGACUCAGCGCUGUAAAGGACACCUGCCCUAAAAAAAUUGUGCUGCGGAAGGGAAUGGACAAAAAAUUUCAGAACAGGCAAAUGUUUCAAGAAUAUAUUAUGAAGACGUAAGUUUGACUCUCUUUAAAAAAAAAAAAGGAAAAUGAAUAAACGCUCAACCUCAGGAAUUAUUAGAUUCAUGCAACUCUAAUCUACAAAAAGUUUACAACUCACACCUGUCCACUGACGAUCAGCAAAAAGUCUACACACAGUAAACACUGAAGGAGUUUUAGAGAACUGUGUACCUUCUAGCUGCUGGUGAGAUGUAAAGUGGUAACAGCCAAUAAUGAGAACAGAAAGGAGCUGCGUUAGCAAAGUAAAAAUUGAGGUACCAUUCGACGCAGCAGGCCCACCGCUAGGCCUCUCACCUGAGAAGUUCAGAAUCGGGAAGACACAGGCUGCAACAGCUGCACUGUGUGGCCUUAUUCACAAUAGCCAAGAUGGUGAAGCAACCAAAAUGUCCAUCAACAGGUGAAUGGAUAAUGAAGUAGAGGUCCAUGUACACAAUGGAUCGUUCCCCAUUUAAAACAAUGAAACACUGCUCUUUGAGGCACCACAAAUGAGCUAAGAGAUAAUCAUGGAACAUGAGGUUCCUUCGCCAGCGCAUGGAGGAAGUCUCUCGGGUGGCCACAAACCAAAUGUUCCUCGGUCCUUACACCUUGCUUCCUACAGAAACCCCCACUGGUCUCCCCUAAGCCUCGGACCUCUGGUCGCCCGACUCCCCUUUCGAUGCCCCCAUUCAGCAUGAAGUAGCCAGAGAUCGGAACGCCACCCCAUUACACCAAAGAUGUCGGGAUGUAAGGCCAACUGGCCCGAGGCAGGGGAACGCAAUCAGAUUCACAGGUUGCAUCAGACCGAAACUCUCCGGACCACCCAAUUCCAGAAACUGACCUGGAGACAUUCCGGACCACCCAGUUCCAGGAACUGACCUGGGGGCUUUCCACCCGGCCCAACCUUCCCGCCUUUCGAGGGAUGAGACUAGCGGUCCCAAGACUGAUGGAACAGGCACCAGAUAGUGCCACGACACCCGAAGAGACCACCAGAUAAGGAAUUCCCUGCGCCCUCCCAGAUGCACCACACCCCUUUCCCUUCUUCCCCUAUAAAAUCUUGCCCAGCCCUCGCCCGGGGGCGACUUCUCUGGCCCCCUUCUCUCGGACGAGUGAACCUCGCCCGGGAACGCCCCCUAAUAAAGCUCACUUGAAGCUUUC